RNAcentral lists this ribosomal RNA (538 nucleotides) under Cryptorhynchus lapathi (poplar-and-willow borer). Its description in RNAcentral is "partial 16S ribosomal RNA". It matches the Rfam family "Archaeal large subunit ribosomal RNA", at positions 1911 to 2694 of the family's 2987-position model. Lineage: Eukaryota; Metazoa; Arthropoda; Insecta; Coleoptera; Curculionidae. The record is from RNAcentral.
GGCCUUUUGAUUAUAAUUUAAGGUCUGACCUGCCCAAUGAUUUAAGUUAAAUGGCUGCGGUAUUUUGACCGUGCAAAGGUAGCAUAAUCAUUAGUUUUUUAAUUGAAAGCUUGUAUGAAAGGUUUGAUGAGAAAAUUUCUGUCUCUGGUUAAAUUAAUUAGAAUUUUAUUUUUAAGUAAAAAAGCUUAAAUAAUUAUAGAAGACGAGAAGACCCUAUAGAGUUUUAUAUUUUUUUAUAAAUUUAUGGUUUUUAGUAUUUAUAUUAUGAUUUAUAGAAAGUAUUUAGUUGGGGUGAUUGAAAAAAUAAAUAAACUUUUUUUUUAUAAAAACAUUGAUUUAUGAGUAAUUGAUCCUUAAUUUUGAUUAUAAGAGUAAAUUACCUUAGGGAUAACAGCGUAAUUUUUUUUUAGAGAUCUAAUCGAAAAAAAAGGUUGCGACCUCGAUGUUGGAUUAAAAUAUAGGGCUGGUGUAGGAGCUAGCCUUUUAGGUCUGUUCGACCUUUAAAAUUUUACAUGAUCUGAGUUUAAACCGGUGUAAG